UACGUAGGCAGCGAGCGUUGUUCGGAAUUACUGGGCGUAAAGAGUGUGUAGGCGGUGUUCCCAGUCUGUUGUGAAAUCUCCCGGCUUAACUGGGAGGGUGCAGCGGAAACUAGAAUGCUAGAGGGUGGGAGAGGUAAGCGGAAUUCCUGGUGUAGCGGUGAAAUGCGUAGAUAUCAGGAGGAACACCGGUGGUGUAGACGGCUCUCUGGACCGUAACUGACGCUGAGACACGAAAGCGUGGGUAGCAAACAGG
Molecule: ribosomal RNA, 253 nt
Filed under: uncultured bacterium
Lineage: Bacteria
Description: partial 16S ribosomal RNA
Rfam family: Bacterial small subunit ribosomal RNA
Source: RNAcentral